CCUCGGCACAAUCUGACGCCAAAACGGCGUUAUGGGUCCACCGUCAACCCAGCAGACACCCAACAGUCCGGAACAGUCUGAACGCUACUGUAAAAAUACACUCGGUAUCCCAGCACGAGCGUAACUGAAAUCUAAACUACGUGGGUAUCCACCACGCUGAUACUGCGACGAUACAAAAUAACAACGGCUCCUAGAGCUAAAUCAGAUAGUUUAAACAUAUGACAGGUUCGAAUCGCAGGUUUUCUCCUAAGUCAUAUCCAAGUCCAACAUGUGCAAGUAGAUUUAGUAACACUAGGCUCCAAUUCAGAUUUUUGUAAAAGAAACAUCAAAUCCAUGAAUCGAGUGAAUAGGAUAUGCAAAAACAACUACAACAACACAUGCCGACUAUCUCUAUAUACUUAGAAGACAAACCGAUGAUUAACCUACCUCGAAAGCUACUCCCAGUCCGGCACGGUGUUAAGAACGGCUGAAACGCACCCUCACCCGGCCUCCCCGUAGCACUACGACGACAAAGACACGCUCGAACGGCACCGCGGCGCGACGUCGACAACACCCGAACUCCAACCGAGCUCCUCCACCACGCACGGUCGAGCACAAGGAGAAGAGAGAGAGAGCACUAAAAACAUCUCCUCUCUGAUCUCUCUAUCCUAUAUAGGGGGGAGAAGGGUUGGUGAUACAACCAAGGCAAGAGAAUUACCAAAAAGCCCCUUACCUACCUUGGUGUACCGGUACACGGACAAUUGUACCGGUACAAAUGGCAACCCGAGAGCAGCUGCGCAGGUUCUCGCAAAAUGUACCGGUACAUCUCGAUGGUUGUACCGGUACAGGAAGUGUACCGGUUACAACUCGAUGGUUGUACCGGUACAACAGGCAAAAAAUAGCCUAAUUCUAAUUUGCAAUGCUCACACCCUGCUCUCGCGUCGCAAUGAGUCCGUUUAGCAUCUAAUUCGCACCAACACGACUCAAACUUGUCCCGGCACUCUCCAGAGCUGUCGACAAGCCUCAACAGCAGAACUCCAUGGAUACCACAUCCUCCCCCACUAUAAAAAGUUUCGUCCUCGAAACUUAAGCAUACCUCAGCUCAGUGCAUCAAACAGAUAGGGAUAGGAUUCCCUCAUCACCGUCUCGGGCUCCCAAGUCGCCUCCCGCUCCUCGUGAUUACUCCACUAAACCUUCACAUACGGGAUGACCCGAUUGCGCAACUCUUUUGUCUCCCGAGCAAGAAUUCGUAAUGGUCGCUCCUCGUAUCUCAGAUCCUCACCAAUCUCUAGUGGAGUGAAGUCGAUCACGUGAGAAGGAUCGAGAAAAUAUCUCCUCAGAGCCGAGACAUGGAACACAUCGUGAAUGUCUGCUAGCCGUGGAGGUAGAGCAAUCCUGUAGGCAACCGGUCCAACUCGCUCUAAUACAUCAAAAGGGCCAAUGAAACGUGGACUGAGCUUUCCACGCACUCCGAAUCUGCGAAUCCCUCUGGACGGUGAGACUUUCAGAAAAACAUGAUCUCUAACCUGGAACUCCAAGUCUCGUCUCCUGAUAUCGGCGUAGCUCCUCUGGCGGCUCUGGGCUGUCAAAAGGUGUCGUCGAACAACUCUCACCUUUUUCUCAGCCUCUAGCAAGAUCUCAAGCCCUAGCGUCUUUCUUUCACCCACAUCACUCCAAAACAAAGGGGAUCGACAUCUGCGUCCAUACAACGCUUCAAACGGAGCCAUCCGGAUGCUCGUUUGAUAGCUGUUGUUGUACGCAAACUCAGCCAGUCUCAAAUGUCGAUACCACCCUCCUCCAAAGUCCAGAACACAUGCCCUCAGCAUGUCCUCUAGAGUCUGUAUGGUCUUCUCUAACUGACCAUCUAUCUGUGGGUGAAACACCGUGCUGAAAUGUAGCUGUGUACCCAAGGCUGUCUGAAGACUCCGCCAAAAAUGUGAAACAAACCUCGAGUCUCUGUCCGAUACAAUCAACAUCCCCCAUGCAGCCUGACGAUCUCAUCCAAGUAUAGCUGCGCGAGCCUCUCUCUGAACCAGAUAGUCUGAACAGGUAGGAAGUGAGCAGACUUGGUGAGUCUGUCCACUAUCACCCAAAUAACAUCGAAACCACCCAGUGCUCUAGGUAACCCCCCGACGAAGUCCAUCGUGAUCUGCUCCCAUUUUCACUCGGGCACUGGUAGAUUCUGAAGCUUGCCAGCAGGUACCUGAUGCUCGGCCUUUACCUGUUGACAAGUCAGACACUGAGCCACAAAUCUGCCAAUGUCCCUCUUCAUUCCAUUCUACCAGAACUAUGCCUUCAAGUCCUUAUACAUCUUGGUUCCACUAGGGUGAACCGUAUAAGGAGCACAAUGAGCCUCUCUCAAAACAUCCGCUCGGAUCUCUGAAUCCAUAGGCACACACAGUCGGUCCCUGUACCGCAGUACUCCCGAACUGUCUACUACAAAGCCCUCAGCCUGUCCCCUGUCUAACUGCUUUCGAAUCAUCAACAAGUGUGGAUCUCCACUCUGCUUCUCUCGGAUCCUAUCCAACAGAGUGGGCUGCAAGAUUAAAGACAUCAGUCUCACAGUAGACCCAGGGAACACUAUCUCGAGCCUCAGCCGCUGCAGCUCCUCGAGUAACGGCCUCUGCUGUGUGAUCAUCAAACUCAAGCUCUGCACUGCCUUCCUGCACAACGCAUCUGCCACCACAUUCGCCUUGUCGGGAUGAUACUGAAUACUAACGUCAUAGUCCUUCAGUAACUCCAACCACCGGUGCUGCCUCAGGUUCAGUUCUCUCUCGGUGAACAGAUACUUAAGACUUUUAUGAUCGGUGAAAACCUCACAGUACUCGCCGUACAAGUAAUGCCGCCACAACUUCAAAGUAAAGACUACCGCGGCAAGCUCCAAGUCAUGCGUAGGGUAAUUCUUCUCGUAAUCCUUUAACUGCCGUAAAGCAUAAGUAAUUACCCUACUAUGCUGCAUCAGCACACAGCCCAGCCCGCUGUGCGAUGCAUCACUGUAGAUCACAGAUCCUUCACCCAUCACAGGAAGGGGAAGGAUAGGAGCUGACGUCAACCUCUGUCUCAACUCAUCAAAACUCCUCUGACAAUCCUCACUCCAGAUGAACCGAAUCCCCUUUCGAGUCAAUCGUGUGAGGGGUGUGGAAAGCUCCGAAAAGCCUUCCACAAACCGACGGUAAUAUCCUGUCAGUCCAAGGAAACUCCUCACCUUAGUCACCGUCGUCGGUCUGGGCCAAUCCCGAAUAGCAUCGAUCUUCUUCGGGUCCACUGCUACUCCCUCAGCAGAAAUCACGUGGCCCAAGAAAGUAACCUCCCGCGACCAGAACUCGCACUUCUUCAACUUGGCAUACAACUUCUUCUCUCGCAGAAGCUGCAGCACAGUCCUCAAGUGCUCCUCAUACUCGGCAUCGCUCCGGGAGUAUAUCAGAAUAUCAUCAAUGAAGACCACCACAAACCUAUCCAAGAACGGUUUGAACACUCUGUUCAUCAAAUCCAUGAAUGCGGCAGGGGCAUUCGUCAAUCCAAAAGGCAUCACCGUAAACUCAUAAUGCCCGUACCGAGUCCGAAAAGCCGUUUUGAGAACAUCCUCGGCCCUCAUCAGCAGCUGGUGGUAACCGGACUGGAUAUCAAUCUUCGAGAAGACACAAGAUCCUUGCAGCUGAUCAAACACAUCAUCAAUGCGCGGCAAAGGAUUCUUGUUCUUGAUAGUCACCUUAUUCAACUCCCGAUAAUUCACAUAUAACCUGUGCGAACCAUCCUUCUUCUUUACAAAUAACACUGGCGCUCCCCAGGGCGAUACACUGGGUCUCACAUACCCCUUAUCCAUCAAAUCUUGAAGCUACGCCUUUAGCUCUCUCAGCUCCGCCGGUGCCAUCUGAUAAGGUAUCUUUGAGAUUGGUGCAGUUCCAGGAACUACAUCAAUCACGAACUCAAUCUUCCUCUCUGGCGGCAUCGUCGUCAACUCUGGAGGAAACACAUCCGGAAACUCGCGGACUACAGGAAUAUCCUCGAGUCCCGGCGCCGCCUAGGUACUUCAGCAACUGCGGCUAGAAAAGCAAUGCAUCCUCUACUCAUCAGCUGUCGAGCCCUCGCGAAAGAAAUCCAAACGGCAAACAACGUGCUCCUACAGCCCCUAAAAGUGAACUCCUCCUGGCCUGGCUUGCGGAACGUCACCGUCCUCGCUCCACAAUCGAUAAUAACAAUAUACCGCGCCAGCCAAUCCAUACCGAGCACAACGUCAAAGCCCUGCAGAUGCCCUAACACCAACAGGUAUGCGGUCAUAAUCCACGAAUCCAACUGCACCGGACAUGACCAACAACACUCUGCAACCUGUAACACAUGGUCGGAGAUCUGCACCUCUUGUGCCUGUGGCAAUGACCCUAAUUCUAGACCAUGCAACAAUGCAAAUGCUCAGCUAACAAAGGAAUGCGAUGCACCGGUAUCAAAAAGUGUACGAGCUCUAAUGCCAGAAAUCAAAAUAAUACCUACUACCACUCGGUCGGCUGCUGUAGAGUCCUCCACCUGGGUUACAUAGACCCUACCACUCGCAGCCUGCUAUCGCCGCUCACCCUGCCGUGGCACAGAUGCCCUAUCCUCCUGGCGGUAACUCGACGGUGCCCCAUAAGACUGCAGGGAGGCUGGCUGUGCAGAUGCUGUGGAUGGUACUGGUGAUGCUGCUCGAGGACAAGCUGAUCUCAUAUGCUCUGGCUGACCGCAACUGUAACACCUGCCCUCUCUCUGCUCGCACUACCGGGGCCAGUGGGGUCCCCCGUAGAUCACGCACUGCGGUGUCCUCGGUGGCUGUCCCUGCUGACGGGAUCCCCCAGAACGCUGACACCCCGAAGACCCAUGACCCUGAGAGUGUGAUCUUGGCGGUCUCGGUGGACGCCUACUGCUCGACUGUCCUGCAUCAUCUGGAAAGGGGCGCUUCCUGUCCUGACUCUGCCCCACGGCCUGAGUCCUCUCCCAAAUGGAAUCAUCACCUCUCUCAACCCAAAGAGCCUGCUCCAUCGACGCAUCCAAGGUCCACAACCUCUGCGCAUGAACCAACCGGAAGAUCUCGGGCCUCAAACCCUGCUCAAAGAGGUAAACUCGGUGCGCCUCAUCCCUGGCCAUGAACGGCACACAAUUCAGGAGUCGCGUGAACUCCCGAAUGUACUCCUGAACUGUCCGCUCACCCUGCUGGAUCUUCUUCAGAUCCUCCUCAAGCUUCUGUUUCACACUGUUGGGAAAUACAUCCCAAACAGCAUUCCACAGAACUCGUCCCACUUCAUCUGCAGCGCUACUAGCCCAUAGUCUCGCCUCAUCCUCCUCCACCAUGCGUGAGCAUUGCUUGACAAACAGUGGACUCCCAAAUGUACCUGCUAUCUCUCUGAGACAAAUAGAUCCUCAAAUAACUUCUCCAUCGCACUGACCCAGCCCUCAACAACCCAGGCCUCAGUGCAACUGCCAUCGAAGAUCGACGGAUCAAAACGGCGAAACCGAGCCAGCCUCUCUGUCAACCGCUCCUGCUUGGCCUCUGUCAUCUGUACUGGCCCCCUAGCAGGCACAACGGGUGUCACAGGAAUCUCCACUGGCUGGGGUACAACUGCGGCUGGUGCUGCUGCCGGGGUGGUCGAAGAUGGAACAGCCUGCUCUGGUGCGCUCGGUACUAUACUCUGUGACGGAGCCACUCUAUCACACAACCUCUGCAACAACUCCCCCUGUCGCCUCGUCACUUCUAUCAAGGCAGCCAACUGUGCACUCAAAUAAGGAGGUGCACCCACCUCCAGUCGGGCCCUCUACUCCACAACAGAGAGUGCACUCGCCUCUACUUGCUCCGGCAUCUCACGAGGUACGGCACGAUCCUGAGUCAACUGUGCACGAUCCCGCGUAGACGGUCGACCUCGGCGACGAUACAUAGCUGCAAGAAACAUAACGGGGUCAGAUCAAACAAACACUCUUGACCCAAUCAACGAAAGUCUAGAAGGCGGCCUCCUGUUUCUCCUCAAAAUUAUGUCGUCUGCAGCCAACAUAAUUUUUCUGGACCGAAACAGAAACUCUUUCAAUCACUCCCUCCGCUCCAGGAGGAGUUAGAACAAUCAAUCAGUGACUUACGCGAUAAAUCACGCCUCUCGCGUCUUGCUUUCCUAAGGUUUGCCAACUUAGGUUUCCUAAGUCCCAACGACCUAAUGCAAAGCUCUGAUACCAACUUAAUUUGUCACGCCCGGAUUUCUCGAUCCCCGGGCACGCCGACAAAUCUGCCGUACACAAAGAAAUUUUCUUUGUAUAUGAAGUGUAGCUGUACGUGUAUAAUAUACAAUACUACGACCAGUAAUAAAGAGCUGCUAGGAAAAUAAAACAUAACCAAGUAGAAAAGAACGGUUCACUAUACAUACAACAUCAAGUACACAAAAACUCGCCCAGCGAGAUACAGUAAAGGUAUGUAUAUGAACUCAAAAACCAUACUACCUAAAGCGGGUAAUCCUCUAGCUCGGCGACUCGUCGGGUAGGGCUCUAGCUCGCAACCCCCUUGCCACGAUCUGCCUCAAAAGAUGCAGCAACCGAAACCGAAGGCUAUGCAAAAACAGUGGUAACAAUUAGGCGUGAGAACUACUGUAAACACAAGUAGUCCUCAGUGGGUACCGUCCUCAACAUCGUCAAUCACCCACCAAGUCUACAGAAGGGAGCGAAGAUAGUAGGAAAAGCUGAAAAAAAUCUACAGCUAAAUGCCACUGCACUAUCCUACUCUACACUAACCAACUGUAAUAAAAGUCAAUUCUGACCCAAAUCUCACUAGGACUAUAAGCAUAUCCGUCCCUGGGACUGUGAAUACACCCGUCACGCCCGGUUGUGAAUAUACAGCUACCUCCACGCAAAGCAGUCAGUGGAGAGCGAGUCCAACCUGCACGAACGAUACCAACGCGAAAGCACAAUGCCUGUCUCUGGAGUGGCACUCGUGGGAGCUACCCAACCGAGUAUGCAACGUAUCUCUGUCGAGCUCAAUCAGACUCUCACAAGCCAAAGUCAAGUAAAUCAGAUCCAACUGGUCUAACAACGAACAGCUCACGUGCCCUCGGCACAAUCUGAUGCCAAAAUGGCGUUAUGGGUCCACCGUCAACCCAGACGGCACCCAACAGUCCGGAACAGUCUGAACGCUACUGUAAAAAUACACUCGACAUCCCAGCACGAGCGUAACUGAAAUCUAAACUAUCUGGGGUAUCCACCACGCUAAUACUGCGGCGAUACAAAAUAACAACGGCUCAUAGAGCUAAAUCAGAUAGUUUAAACAUGUGACAGGUUCGAAUCGCAGGUUUUCUCCUAAGUCAUAUCCAAGUCCAACAUGUGCAAGUAGAUUUAGUAACACUAGGCUCCAAUUCAGAUUUUUGUAAACUAAACAUCAAAUCCAUGAAUCAAGCGAAUAAGAUAUGCAAAAACAACUACAACAACACAUGCCGACUAUCUCUAUAUACUUAGAAGACAAACCGACGAUUAACCCACCUCAAAAGCUACUCCCAGUCCGGCACGGUGUCGAGAACGGCGGAAACGCACCCUCGCCCGGCCUCCCCGCAGCGCUACGACGACGAAGACAUGCUCGAACGGCACCGCGGCGCAACGUCGACAACACUCGAACUCCAACCG
This 7596-nucleotide long non-coding RNA is filed under the name Ananas comosus (pineapple). RNAcentral describes it as "long non-coding RNA (ACOM_LNC026561)". The record is from RNAcentral. Lineage: Eukaryota; Viridiplantae; Streptophyta; Magnoliopsida; Poales; Bromeliaceae.